GUGGGGCGAGUCAAUCAAAAGGUCGUCCAAAUUCUAUUGGGGAAGCGGCAUGUUUGUUUAGGAGAUUUUAAAUGUCAGCACUGGCUUUCAGAGAUCAUGCACCCCGCCUUUAACUAAAAUUUCUCAUGAUCUUAAAACCUUUAAAUCUGAAGUUGUAUGCUUGAAUGUUUGAAAUUUCUUCUUAAGACAAAAAUAAAAUUUUGCCAACAUAUUCUUUUCUUUCAUUAGAACACAAACAUUUUGUUUAAUAAAUUAUCACCCGAACAGUGACCAAAGUCUUUACAGGCCGACAGUCAAAAAUGAGCAUCAUGAGAACAACCAUUGAUCCGGUGCAGGAGACAAGUGGAGGUCUCGACCAGCAGCCAGCCGGUUUGGUGAACAGCGAAGGUUGAGCAUCUCCCAUCAGGCAGCUGGUUCAGGGACCACCAGGAGUUCAACAGUUAACGAAGUCUUCACAGACCGAUGGUCAGAAAUGAGCACCAUAAGUACCACCAAUGAUCCGGUACAGGAGGCGGGUUGGCGCUGCUCAGCGACGGUUGAACAUCUCACUUCAGGUGGCUGGUGCAGGGACCACUGACCCAAACCCAUGCUGUGAGCUCAACUGAUGAGCAAACAAAUAAAAGGAAAAAGGCUGUCAUGCAUUCUUCCAGAGAAAAUGAUGUGCAGUGAAAAGUGCUUUCAAGUGCCGCAGAGGAAACAAAUUGGAGCCUCUUAAUAUCCAGUUGAAUGCCCCACUGGAUG
Misgurnus anguillicaudatus (oriental weatherfish) is the source of this 741-nucleotide non-coding RNA. Lineage: Eukaryota; Metazoa; Chordata; Actinopteri; Cypriniformes; Cobitidae. The record is from RefSeq and is a predicted model, not a curated record.